CCUACGGGAGGCAGCAGUGGGGAAUAUUGCACAAUGGGCGAAAGCCUGAUGCAGCCACGCCGCGUGAAGGAAGAAGGGUUUCGGCUCGUAAACUUCUAUCAACAGGGACGAAAGAAAUGACGGUCCCUGACUCCUACGCCCCCGCUAACUACGUGCCAGCAGCCGCGGUAAUCCGUAGGGGGCGAGCGUUAUCCGGAAUUACUGGGUGUAAAGGGUGAGUAGGCGGCAUGGUAAGCCAGAUGUGAAAGCCUUGGGCUUAACCCGAAGAGUGCAUUUGGAACUAUCAAGCUAGAGUACAGGAGAGGAAAGCGGAAUUCCUAGUGUAGCGGUGAAAUGCGUAGAUAUUAGGAAGAACACCAGUGGCGAAGGCGGCUUGCUGGACUGAAACUGACGCUGAGGCACGAAAGCGUGGGGAGCGAACAGGAUUAGAUACCCCUGUAGUC
Molecule: ribosomal RNA, 443 nt
Filed under: uncultured bacterium
Lineage: Bacteria
Description: partial 16S ribosomal RNA
Rfam family: Bacterial small subunit ribosomal RNA
Source: RNAcentral